This 266-nucleotide ribosomal RNA is filed under the name uncultured prokaryote. RNAcentral describes it as "partial 16S ribosomal RNA". It matches the Rfam family "Bacterial small subunit ribosomal RNA", at positions 524 to 790 of the family's 1533-position model. The record is from RNAcentral.
CACGUAGGGGACGAGCGUUGUCCGGAAUUACUGGGCGUAAAGGGCGCGCAGGCUGCGUUACAAGUCAGCUGUUAAAUGCAUGGGCUUACCCCAUGAGUGCGGUUGAAACUGUAGUGCUAGAGUACUGUAGAGGCAAGCGGAAUUCCCAGUGUAGCGGUGAAAUGCGUAGAUAUUGGGAGGAACACCGGUGGCGUAGGCGGCUUGCUGGACAGUAACUGACGCUGAGGCGCGAAAGCCAGGGGAGCAAACGGGGAUUAGAUACCCGU